AUAAUAAUUUGCCUCUUAAUUAGAGGCUGGAAUGAAGGAACAUACGAGAGUGAAGCUGUCUCAUUUUUAUUACCCGAAAAUUAACCUUCAGAUGAAGAGAUCUGAAUACAAAAGAAAGACAAAAAGACCCUAUUGAGCUUUACUUUACCAAGAUUCACCAAAAGAAAAUCUAUAACCAAAAAUCUUGAUAAAGUUUUGUUGGGGCGACAGAAGAAGACCUAAAUCUUCUUUAUCUCCAAAAGCACAUGACCCUUAUAAGGAGGCGGUCUUGCAAGUAAAAGCUCGAGCUUAGCUAGCG
This 298-nucleotide ribosomal RNA is filed under the name Scolelepis sp. GF-27330_14803. Its description in RNAcentral is "partial large subunit ribosomal RNA". The record is from RNAcentral. Lineage: Eukaryota; Metazoa; Annelida; Polychaeta; Spionida; Spionidae.